This 1172-nucleotide ribosomal RNA is filed under the name Methylophilales bacterium BACL14 MAG-120920-bin58. RNAcentral describes it as "bacterial LSU rRNA". It matches the Rfam family "Bacterial large subunit ribosomal RNA", at positions 1 to 1165 of the family's 2925-position model. Lineage: Bacteria; Pseudomonadati; Pseudomonadota; Betaproteobacteria; Nitrosomonadales. The record is from RNAcentral.
GAUCAAAUCAAGCGCGAAAAGGGCGAUUGGUGGAUGCCUUGGCAGUAAGAGGCGAUGAAGGACGUGAUACCCUGCGUUAAGCCAUGGGGAGCCGGGAAUAGGCUUUGAUCCAUGGAUGUCCGAAUGGGGGAACCCACCUGAAAUUCUGUUGUUGUUAUCUACUGGCUGUUUACAGUCAGUGGGUGAUCAUCAACGGGGUUAGACAGGUACUUAUCUCUGAAUAAAAUAGGGGAAUAAGAGCAAACCCGGGGAACUGAAACAUCUAAGUACCCGGAGGAAAGGAAAUCAAGAGAGACUCCGUUAGUAGUGGCGAGCGAACGCGGACCAGCCGAGCCUGGAAGAGUGACUGGAAUGGUCUGGAAAGGCCAGCAAUAUAGGGUGACAGCCCCGUACAGGAAGCUCCAUGGGACAUAUUAAGUAAGGCGGGACACGUGAAAUCCUGUCUGAAGAUCGGGGGACCACCCCCGAAGGCUAAGUACUCCUUACUGACCGAUAGCGAACCAGUACCGUGAGGGAAAGGUGAAAAGCACCCCGACGAGGGGAGUGAAACAGUACCUGAAACCGGUCGCCUACAAGCAGUCGGAGGGACCAUGAGUCCUGACGGCGUACCUUUUGUAUAAUGGGUCAACGACUUGGUCUUACUAGCAAGCUUAAGCCGAUAGGUGUAGGCGCAGCGAAAGCGAGUCUUAAAUGGGCGAAUGAGUUAGUGGGAUCAGACCCGAAACCAGGUGAUCUAGCCAUGAGCAGGAUGAAGGUAAGGUAACACUUACUGGAGGUCCGAACCAACACCCGUUGAAAAGGGUCUGGAUGACUUGUGGCUAGGGGUGAAAGGCCAAUCAAACCUGGAGAUAGCUGGUUCUCCGCGAAAGCUAUUUAGGUAGCGCCUCGGACGAAUACCUUGGGGGGUAGAGCACUACAUGGAUGAUGGGGGCCCACAGCCUUACUGAGUCUAAGUAAACUCCGAAUACCCAAGAGUACUAUCCGGGAGACACACGGCGGGUGCUAACGUCCGUCGUGAAGAGGGAAACAACCCUGACCUGCAGCUAAGGCCCCUAAUUCGUGGUUAAGUGGGAAAGCAUGUGGGACGGCCAAAACAACCAGGAGGUUGGCUUAGAAGCAGCCAUCCUUUAAAGAUAGCGUAACAGCUCACUGGUCUAGAUAAGCUGUCCUGC